Molecule: long non-coding RNA, 2718 nt
Organism: Malurus melanocephalus (red-backed fairy wren)
Lineage: Eukaryota; Metazoa; Chordata; Aves; Passeriformes; Maluridae
Exons: 3
Source: RefSeq, a predicted model, not a curated record
CUUGCUGAACCCUUACUCCUCCUUCCCGUCUUUCAUCCGUCUUCCCCUGCUUCUCCUUCUUCAUCCUUUCUUCUCCUCUUCCUCCUCCUCUUCCGGGAACCCUGACUGUGUGCAUGGACUGGGAAAGGAGAGGCUGGAGAGCAGCUGCGAGGAGGAGCCUGGCGAUCCUGAGCGAUGCCCAGUUAGAUCUGAGUCASCAGAGCCUGGCAGCCAGGAGGGUCAUCCGUGUGCUGGGGGCAUCAGGGCCAGCAUCGCCCGCCGGACACCAGGGAGGGGACACUCAUGGGCRAAACAGACUGAACUCGAGGAUUGGAAUUGAAUUAUUUACCUAUCAAAAUCGGAGCAGGAUGUAGAGAGCAGGGACAGAGUAGUUUKGGUGGCAUCCAGCAUCCAGCCGGGGUCAACCCACCACCAGAUCCUACAUGGUCCAGGACUGAAGGAAAAGCUUUGGAAGAAGCUCCAACAUCAUCAAGCACCAGUUGAACCACAUGGGGAGACCCUAUGAAUGCCAAAACUAUGGGAAGGGCUUCACUGCGAGCUGAAAGCUCCUGGAACACAUGUAGAACUCCAUAUGGAGGAGGUCCYUACAUGUUCUCAGGAUGCAAGAAGAGGGAGGGCUCCACAGGGAGCCAAGGUCCCACCAGAACUACUACCUGAAGUAGAAGGUGGUGAUAAGUCUCAAGCCCAGGGCCCUGGAGCACUUGGGGGUCUCCAGCUAGACUCUGCUGAGCCCCAGGAAGGAGCUCAUAUAGUCCCUCAUCCUGCCUUCAAGAUCGCUUGGGAUUUCCCAUCCAUCUCUGCAUUCCCUCCUCCAAGAUCUCCAGGCUCCUGAGAUGAGCCCAAAGUAGUGGAAGUCCCCAACCAGAGAGGCCACAAAACCCCAAAUUUUAUCCCCAUUCACAAACUUUUUCCCUUUUCCUCUUCUUUUCUCCUUCCCAUGUUCUGCCACAGCCGAUGGAAGCAGCCAAGAGCCCAGCACUGCCCAUCCCGACGUGUCCCRGCUCCACCCCUGCUCCUCCUGCAGGAUGUGAGGGGUUUUGGGGGAAAGGGUGGGUGCUGGCUGUGAGAGGAGGAGAAGAAGAAAUGGAGGAAGAAGGCUGAAGAAGGAGCGGGAGAAGGGAUGGAGCUCUUCAGGGUCAUGCUGAGGAUCCAGUCUGAGCAGGGACAGCACAAAGCUUUAUCCAUGAGCUUCGGUCACUGGCUGGUCUCCUUGUUGAUCAGAACUUCCAUGUUUGUUUACCUGAAGCCCCCCUUCAUCUCCUCCCCAUUGCUGGAUCUGAUGGUGUCAGUUCUGUACUCAGUGGUGCCUCCAACACUGAACCCCUUCAUCUACAGCCUGAGGCACUAGAAGUUCAAGGAUGUCCUGAAGAAACUUGUGACUAGAUGCUUUUCAGGAGCCACAGCCUGCCUGCUGUCCUCUGUCAGUGUCUCCCAGUGCAUCUCAUGAUAGAACAAGUCUGGUUUUCCUUAUUUACAUCUCUUUUCUUCUCUGCUUGUGAUGUUCUCUUUAAGAACAAAUGUCAUUACUCAUCCCCUCCUCCUUCAGCAUCCACCAAGCUUGUGUGACCAGGAGACUUUGUAAAUAGGGAGACUCACAGUGUAUUCAAAUGAAAUAAAUUAACCUGCAGCAAUUUUUGGGGGGUCUUGAGAUCCAUCCUCGGUAGAGCAGGAAUGAGUGGGAAAUGAGAACAGCUUUCUGGCUGCACCAGCCUUGGAAUGAGCCCUGUGUCUGGAGCAGGAAUAGCUCUUCUGGACCACAGGGCCUGUGACUUGUGUUAGCCUGGGGAGAUGGGAUGGCAGGAAGGCCUGCAGAGCUCUCAGCAUCUCCUGGAGAGGAGAGCAGGGCACACAGGGAGCUUCCUUUCCCUUUGGCCAAACACCUUUCCCCAUGGCUGGGGCUGAGUCCUCUGUGAGCUACAGCUGCUGCUGUGCCCUUGAGAGGGGCUGAGGCUGUGGGGCCACUGGCCAGAGCAGCCAGCCCUGAAUCAUGUGGGGCCAGGCCCCUGGUACUACAGAGAGCUCAGAGGAGGUGUGAGAGCUUGGAGGGAGCUGGGCUGAGCUGGAAAGAACUGGUGAAAGAAAACCAUCAGUGCCCAUCUCACCCUCUGUGACCAUGCAGGGGCAGAACUUACCCCAGGGGUUUGUGGAGCAGAGCCAAGGCUUGAGGAGGGGAUCCAACAGACACUGAUACUCAUGUUGGGGGAUGCAAUGGCUUCCUUGCCUGAGUCUUUACUGGAAAGGUCUCUCAGGUCUCUGUGUUCAGUGAAAGGCUUCAAGGAGGAGGAAAGUAUUGGCAGGAACCUCACUGAGGGGAAGCAGGGGUUAAAAGCAGAUGAUUUGGCAAGGAAGAAAAAAAUAAGAGUUGUUUUCACUCAAAGAUGAUCUUGUAACUGAAAGAUGCUAAUACUCGGUGGGGGAAAUCUCACAUAUUUUGGUUGCUUUGGGUUGUUUUCUGUCUGAUUUGAGAAGUGGAAUUUCUGCAGAAGACAACAGGAUGUUGUAAAAAGACCUGAAAAAUAUUUUUUUUCACAGCCCGAGGCCUCCUGGUGAGAGGGAACAGAGGUAAAAAGCUCAGAGAUUUCAAAAACACUGCCUCAUGAAGGAAUGUGCCUGUGAUAGGCCCUGUGAUAUGUUAAGGCAGGGAACAAGCUUGUGCAUGCUCUUUGCUCCUGUUAAGAUGGAAUAAGCUUAGGCAUUAUGUGUCCCCUAUUUUCCUAC